Molecule: ribosomal RNA, 489 nt
Filed under: uncultured bacterium
Lineage: Bacteria
Description: partial 16S ribosomal RNA
Rfam family: Bacterial small subunit ribosomal RNA
Source: RNAcentral
AUUGAACGCUGGCGGCAGGCCUAACACAUGCAAGUCGAACGGUAACAGGAAGCAGCUUGCUGCUUUGCUGACGAGUGGCGGACGGGUGAGUAAUGUCUGGGAAACUGCCCGAUGGAGGGGGAUAACUACUGGAAACGGUAGCUAAUACCGCAUAACGUCGCAAGACCAAAGAGGGGGACCUUAGGGCCUCUUGCCAUCGGAUGUGCCCAGAUGGGAUUAGCUAGUAGGUGGGGUAACGGCUCACCUAGGCGACGAUCCCUAGCUGGUCUGAGAGGAUGACCAGCCACACUGGAACUGAGACACGGUCCAGACUCCUACGGGAGGCAGCAGUGGGGAAUAUUGCACGAUGGGCGCAAGCCUGAUGCAGCCAUGCCGCGUGUAUGAAGAAGGCCUUCGGGUUGUAAAGUACUUUCAGCGGGGAGGAAGGGAGUAAAGUUAAUACCUUUGCUCAUUGACGUUACCCGCAGAAGGAGCACCGGCUAACUCCGU